Sebastes umbrosus (honeycomb rockfish) is the source of this 2843-nucleotide long non-coding RNA. RefSeq lists it as uncharacterized. NCBI's taxonomy places the organism in Eukaryota, Metazoa, Chordata, Actinopteri, Perciformes, Sebastidae. The transcript is spliced from 3 exons. The record is from RefSeq and is a predicted model, not a curated record.
AGGCUAAAAAACACACAAAAUAAUACAAAAAUAAGAGUAAUAAUAAUAAAUUAAAUUAACAAAUAAGUUAAUAGAAAAUAAAAGGGGGGGAGCGCAAAUAUACAGUAAUAUCAUUUACAUGCAUAUGCAUCCUUCUUCACGUCAGGUCAGCUCCAAGCAUACGUAUAUGUGCAUGCCUGUUAACCCAUCUAGCUAUAUUUUUCUCCAGAUUGAGUGUUUUUUCUUUGCUAUUAUAAGUAAACGCCCUUUUUUUACAUUACUGUGUAGCCUAUAAUGGUCUGUAAUACACUUACUUGUAUUCGUAUAUUUCCUAUAAACACAUAGCAAUUACUGAUUUGCACUAAGCAAUUGCAUUUUUAAAAAAAAGUAACAAAAAAUAGGCAUCAUAACAUUUUACAAAAACAUUUAUUUGCCAUAUAAAAUGAUCACGUUAUACUACGUAACUAUCACAUCUGUAACUCCCUGAUAAAAAAAAAAAAUCCUAGGGUGUUAGUAUGUCCGAUGACACUUAAAGGCAGCAAACAUGCUAGGUAACCGCGCCCUCUGCGCAGCCACGUAGCACAGGUAGAUACAGGUAGAUAAUACAGGCCUCUGUUCACAUGCUGGCCAGCGGUGCUCCAGAUAUACUCAAACAUAAUCUGCUGCAUUCAGAGCUCCCACAGGCCUUGAAAAUCAUAAGAAGUUUGCAGAUAUGUACAGAGACCAUCUGAAAUACUGUCUUCAACUAUAUUACAAAUUUACAUUACUAUUUUAUAUUCACUCCUGUUUGUAUUUAAGCCCUAUAUUUUAACUGCACUAUUUUAUGCCUUAGAUUAUCAUUUUGCUUUUACUUUUAUUGUGUGAUUUCCCCUUUUAUACAUAUAUUAUGAGCAUUGUUGAAGGAACCUGAGACCAAAGAUUGUCAUUGUUAAUGACUGCUUUGCUGGAAUUGACAAAUGACAAGUUAAGAACCUUGAACCUUGAGAUUUAAAAAUAUAUAUAUAUAUAAUAAUAAGGCCUUGGGUUUAUGAAAAUGAAUUGAUGAACUCAUCAGAGUAACUCAUCUCUUUCUGUCCCAGCAUCAGCACAGCUUCACAUCCAUAUAGGGAAACAUUUCAUGAAUGUAUGAUUUUUUUUAAUGAGCUAAUAUUAUUUAAAAAAUACAUAGACUAUAUUGAAAUGAGUUGCAGUCUUACACAAGUAAGAAUGAAAACUUAUUGGAUUUUUUUCAUUUCCAUAAACACCAUAAAUAUCCCAUAUAAUUCAGUGUGUGGAGAUGGGUGGAGAUGUUUUAACCACUGUUAACCGGAUGUUUGUAGAAAGUCACGCUUAACCCAAUUAAAUUAGUUAAAAUUAUAUUUAAGCAUUUCUGCCAUACAUGCACACAGCCACUCAAUAGCAACACCAUACUCCUCAUCACCACUGCUGCAUAUCAGGAUAAGCCUUGGGAUGGACAGAUGAUGGAUCAUGUAGGCCUCAAUCUCUUAUCCUCUUGUGAAAAUACCGGAGUAAAUCCAGAUACAGACACAUGUUUCAGCAGUAGUGUAAUCCUGCUGGUGGGCGGGCACCGGUUUGAUCUGUGAACAGGAUGAGCUUCCAACCACUGACAUGUUUGGCUCUGCUGUGUGCAACCAUUCAUCUGUUCUGGGCAAUUGUCACUGUGUCCUCUUUAGAUUUGAUUGAAGAUCAUGAAAAAAGGCUUUGUGACCUAAAUGACCAUGUAUUUGUCCAGUUCCUCACUAAGUAAUCAAUAUAUACAGCAGCCAGUUUGUAUAAAAAAUUGUAUUAAAAAUUGUCCUCACAAAUUUGAGUUCAAUCCAUGGUUUGCAAAUCUACUAAAAUGUACUAUAUUCAACUGUGACAAUAAUGAAUAUAUUAGGCAGCAUUCAUUUUGCAUGUAAUAUUGUUGGAAACGAUACAGCAUACAGUUAAACUUGAGCAGCGUGCACCUGACAGUGAAAUACAUUUAAUUUAUAUUGACUUAAAUUAUAAUUCACCUUCAAAAUGUAAAGCUGUUUACAGUCAAACUCAUCUUCUAGUCAUCAUAUGUUGUUAUGCAGUGUGCUCUACUUGUUUAUGCUCCACUUUAUGCAGCUUACCGUUAACAGUGUUCAUACCAUGAGAAACAGUUAUUUCAAGUGUUGCAAGUAGAAAAGAUGACGACACAGAUUUUUGUACAGAACACAAAAAAAAAACAGUGGUCAAGUUGGCGGUACUGUUUGCAACAAUUCAUCCUUGAUAAAGUCUUGACCAGCCUGUGCAACUGUUCAUUUGGAGGUUAUCAGUGCUCUAUUACAAAAUAUUGAAGUGGACUAUCAGUGAUCUUUUAUUCUCAUCCUUAUACAUUACAUUAUACAGUCAUUUUAUGAAUCUCUAUGUAAAUACACUUCAGAUGAAGAAUAAUCUUUGAAUCAACAAUGUUGUGAUAAAUAUGCACAAGAUAAGUGUUUGCAAUGGGUUUAGCCUAUUGUGGCUCAUUAUUUGUUCUAUAGCUUAUGGAUGAAAAACACCAGUUUUACUUGUUGCUUCUGUCACGGCUCUGGCCUUGACUCCAGUAGUUUUCCAGUGUUCCGCUUCCCCUGGGUCUCCCCCUCCCCUGCCUGUCUGUAUGGGUGUGGCAGGGGCGCGGCUUCCUCAUCAGGCACUUGGUCUCACUCUCCACUCUGCACUCUGCACCUGUCAACAAUCACCUAAUCAACCCACAGUACAAGAACACCAGCUUUCCUGCCAGUCCUCGCCAGAUUGUUCUGCCUACCAGUUGUGCCAGCCUCCCAUCGAGCCAACCUCACACCGCCGCAGCUCAUUCCUCCAGCUACUCCACCCUGCUCAACAGCCUGCCUGUUCCCUGCCUUCUCCAGCGCCCU